Molecule: ribosomal RNA, 494 nt
Filed under: uncultured bacterium
Lineage: Bacteria
Description: partial 16S ribosomal RNA
Rfam family: Bacterial small subunit ribosomal RNA
Source: RNAcentral
GAUGAACGCUGGCGGCGUGCCUAAUACAUGCAAGUCGAACGAACAGAUAAGGAGCUUGCUCCUUUGACGUUAGCGGCGGACGGGUGAGUAACACGUGGAUAACCUACCUAUAAGACUGGGAUAACUUCGGGAAACCGGAGCUAAUACCGGAUAACAUAUUGAACCGCAUGGUUCAAUAGUGAAAGGCGGCUUUGCUGUCACUUAUAGAUGGAUCCGCGCCGUAUUAGCUAGUUGGUAAGGUAACGGCUUACCAAGGCAACGAUACGUAGCCGACCUGAGAGGGUGAUCGGCCACACUGGAACUGAGACACGGUCCAGACUCCUACGGGAGGCAGCAGUAGGGAAUCUUCCGCAAUGGGCGAAAGCCUGACGGAGCAACGCCGCGUGAGUGAUGAAGGUCUUCGGAUCGUAAAACUCUGUUAUCAGGGAAGAACAAAUGUGUAAGUAACUGUGCACAUCUUGACGGUACCUGAUCAGAAAGCCACGGCUAACUAC